Molecule: long non-coding RNA, 1741 nt
Organism: Pogoniulus pusillus (Red-fronted tinkerbird)
Lineage: Eukaryota; Metazoa; Chordata; Aves; Piciformes; Lybiidae
Exons: 3
Source: RefSeq, a predicted model, not a curated record
AGGAGAGGCAAGCCUCAAGCUUGCCCGUUUGGGCAGAAGGAUCCUCCUCGGAUCAUCACCGGUAUUCCCCGGAGGACAUUGGCUAAGCUUCCAUUACCCAACAGCAUCAUGGCUCCUGCACAAAGCCACUAGAAGGUUGAGAGGACUAAAAAUACAGGAGACUUUUUCUUAUGUGGUGCCCAGUGACAGAACAAAGCAGAACACAGAAGGUUCCACCUAAAUGUGAGAUGAAACUUUAGUGGGAAGGUGGCUGGAGCCCUGGAGCAGGCUGCCCAGAGAGGUUGUAGAGUCUCCUCUGGAGAGAUUCCAAACCCAUCAGGACAUUGUGAUCGUGGGCAGCCUGCUGUGGGUGCCCUGCUUUAGCAGGGGGGUUGGACUGGGUGAUCUCCAGAGGUCUCUUCCAGCCCCCAUCAUGCUGGGAUUCUCUGUGACUUUGCUGGUUUGAGUGAAUCCCAGGAAGGAUUCUUCCUAGAUUUGGGGAGUAAUGAUCCUGUUCAGCACAGCUGCAAAUAAAUGUCCUACACUCCAAAAUGUACUGAUUUUUGUCACUUGACCCUUUUCCUGCCUGGAAAGCAUCCCACCAGGUCUUGAACUCUGCUACCUCCUGGCAAAAAGACUUCAAUGUGAAUUGUGAAAAACAGAGUUAUUUUUGUCUCCAUCAUAGUCCUAAGAGAGCUACACACAACAUCAGCUCAGGUAUAAACCCCCAGGAUACCCCAGAGAGUGAAAACAGAAGAGAGCCUCAUGUGGCAGAUACAGUUUGGCAGCUGCAAAAUAAACAGUUCCUGGCUAUGAAGGAAUCAGAGCAGAAAUCAAGAGCUAGCCAUAAUCUCUGGGUUGUAAAGAAGAGGAUUUGUGAAGCUGGGGAAGGAGUUUAUCACCACGUUGCACAUUUUCCAUCUCUGCUGUUAGAUGAAGCAAAUUGCUGUCCAUGGCCACCCCCAGUCCCAGGAUGUCCUGGGCUGAGAUAACUUCCAUGCAAUUUCCUUGCUCUAGCAGUUAACUGUUCUGCACCUCCUCUUUUUAAUCUGGCUGACACAAUGAGAGAGUUUUAAUUAACAAGGAGCAAAUAGGAUUAAUUAAACCUUAAGGUCUGAGUGGUUAACAAUUGAAAGCCUUUAGACAAGUCCCUGCAGUAUGAUGUUGUUAUUAUUUGUAAUGGUUAAGGCAGCAGAUAUUCCUCCAGAUCCGUAGCAAGGUAUUAGACCUGGCAGGAGAAGAAGUACUUUCACUUCAUCAGGAAGGCUUAAAGUGAUGCUGGGUCCUGCAGGUCCUGCACAAAGCAUCAAGGUGCACGUUCCCAAACUCCAUCAAUCCCUCUGGCUGCUGGAGAUGAGUAGUCCUGCUCCCACCAAUCCCAUGGGCAGCGAAACUUAAGGGGCAAUCCAAGAUAUCAGACCAAGAUGAAGGGAUGGAGAGCACUCCUCUGGAGAAAAAUUUGAGGGUGCUGGGGGGUGUAAGGCUGGACAUGAGCCAGCACCAUGCACUCACAGCCCAGAACCAGCUCUGCCCUGAGCUGAUCUCUGGCACUGUGGGCAGCAGGGGCAGGGAAGGAAUUCUGCCCCUCUGCUCUGCUCUGCUGAGACCCCAUGUGCAGUGCUGGGUCCUCUCCUAAAGGUCUUUUCCCCACCUCAUGCCUCAUGGCACCAGUAAUCUUCUCAGCUGAGGGCACCACUGUGUUAUUGGCCAAAAUAUUAGAGCCAGAAAGAGCCCUUCAGGAGGACCCACAAUGUUCGUGUGU